RNAcentral lists this ribosomal RNA (448 nucleotides) under uncultured bacterium. RNAcentral describes it as "bacterial SSU rRNA". It matches the Rfam family "Bacterial small subunit ribosomal RNA", at positions 355 to 796 of the family's 1533-position model. The record is from RNAcentral.
UGGGGAAUAUUGCGCAAUGGGCGAAAGCCUGACGCAGCGACGCCGCGUGAAGGAUGAAGGCCUACGGGUUGUAAACUUCUGUUAAGCGGGAAGAAAAUUCUAUUUCUAAUAAAGAUAGACAUGACGGUACCGCUAGAGAAAGCACUGGCUAAACUCGUGCCAGCAGCCGCGGUAAUACGAGUGGUGCAAGCAUUAUUCGGAAUCAUUGGGCGUAAAGGGUGCGUAGGUGGCGUAUUAAGUCUACUGUUAAAUAUCUCGGCCUAACCGAGAACCUGCAGUGGAGACUGGUAUGCUAGAGGAUGAGAGAGAGAAGUGGAAUUCUCGGAGUAGCGGUAAAAUGCGUAGAUCUCGAGAGGAACACCGAUGGCGAAAGCAGCUUCUUGGACCAAUCCUGACACUGAUGCACGAAAGCGUGGGGAGCAAACAGGAUUAGAUACCCCCGUAGUCC